CCUACGGGUGGCAGCAGUGGGGAAUAUUGGGCAAUGGGCGCAAGCCUGACCCAGCAACGCCGCGUGAAGGAAGAAGGCCCUCGGGUUGUAAACUUCUUUUAUUCGGGACGAAACAAAUGAGGUACCGAAUGAAUAAGCCACGGCUAACUAGGUGCCAGCAGCCGCGGUAAUACGGAGGUGGCAAGCGUUAUCCGGAUGUACUGGGUGUAAAGGGCGUGUAGGCGGGAGAGCAAGUCAGGCGUGAAAUUCCAGGGCUAAACCCUGGAACUGCGUUGGAAACUGUUCUUCUUGAGUGAUGGAGAGGCAGGCGGAAUUCCGUGUGGAGCGGUGAAAGGCGUAGAUAUACGGAGGAACGCCAGUGGCGAAGGCGGCCUGCUGGACAUUAACUGACGCUGCGGCGCGAAAGCUUGGGGAGCAAACAGGAUGAGAUACCCGAGUAGUC
RNAcentral lists this ribosomal RNA (442 nucleotides) under uncultured bacterium. Its description in RNAcentral is "partial 16S ribosomal RNA". It matches the Rfam family "Bacterial small subunit ribosomal RNA", at positions 338 to 795 of the family's 1533-position model. The record is from RNAcentral.